GUCCUACGGGUGGCAGCAGUGGGGAAUUUUCCACAAUGGGCGAAAGCCUGAUGGAGCAACGCCGCGUGUGUGAUGAAGGUCUUCGGAUCGUAAAGCACUUUCGAUCGGGACGAAAAACCUCUGGCUAACAUCCAGGGGCCUGACGGUACCGGGAGAAGAAGCACCGGCUAACUCUGUGCCAGCAGCCGCGGUAAUACAGAGGGUGCAAGCGUUGUUCGGAAUUAUUGGGCGUAAAGCGCGUGUAGGCGGCUUAGCAAGUCGGGUGUGAAAGCCCACAGCUUAACUGUGGAAGUGCGCCCGAAACUGCUGAGCUUGAGUGUCGGAGAGGGUGGCGGAAUUCCGCAAGUAGAGGUGAAAUUCGUAGAUAUGCGGAGGAACACCGGUGGCGAAGGCGGCCACCUGGACGAUAACUGACGCUGAGACGCGAAAGCGUGGGGAGCAAACAGGAUUAGAUACCCCGUAGUCU
RNAcentral lists this ribosomal RNA (466 nucleotides) under uncultured Myxococcales bacterium. RNAcentral describes it as "bacterial SSU rRNA". It matches the Rfam family "Bacterial small subunit ribosomal RNA", at positions 335 to 796 of the family's 1533-position model. The record is from RNAcentral. Lineage: Bacteria; Pseudomonadati; Myxococcota; Myxococcia; Myxococcales.